This is a long non-coding RNA of Mya arenaria, 1233 nucleotides long. RefSeq lists it as uncharacterized. The transcript has 3 exons. Lineage: Eukaryota; Metazoa; Mollusca; Bivalvia; Myida; Myidae. The record is from RefSeq and is a predicted model, not a curated record.
CUUGCAUGUAGGGGAAAUAACUGUUUUGUUUAUAAUUUCAUCGUCUUUUAUUCUUAUUUUCUUUUGAAGUUUAAGAAACCAGAUUGGAAAUUUUUAUUCAGAAAUGCAAUCCACACAUUUAAGCACCGUUUGUCUAACGUACCAGCCAGCUAUGGUAGCCUCCGCAGAUAGAUCAAAGACACAUAUACCCGGGCAAGUUAAAUAGAAGCACUUCCGGCGGUGGACAGUCGUAAAACAACACCUUAACUACUAAGAAGUGACAUCACGCCGAUAGCAAUAAGGCUACGUCUACUUGAUUUGACUUACAGUGUCACUUGACCUCUUUGUAAGGGGUUCCGAUAAGUACGCAGAAGCAGACGAUAAUAAUACAAACGUUAUACUUGACAAUCAGAUUAAAAAAAUGCAUGGGACAUGGUAAAACAUAGCAAUAAAAGCAAGUAUAGCAUUAAAUAAGUUCGUUAUUGUUAUUUAGUGUAUGCAAUGUAUGAUUCAGGUAGAAAUACUUUCUAAACUUUAAAAUAAUUUAUUUCUGAUUAUCAUCGGAAGUUUGUUACAGUAUUAUAACCAUCUCUAUUUCAAAACUCCAAAUUAGGGAAACAAAACAUGUAUUAAUUUCUUUACGAAAGUCAGCAAAAAUCGACGUUUGUUUAGAUCCAUUGUCAAAACUCAAUGAAUUUCGCUGUUAUUCUUCCUUUCUCCAUUAAGAUUCACCUGUUUUAUACAAGUGUAAUGAAUAUAAUUAUUGAUAUUACUACCUUAAUGCUUCUCUCAAUAUAUUAGUGUCCGUAUUAAAUGAAAUGCAACACUGUUCUAACAAGCGGCAAAGAAGUUCGAAAUGACCUUAGUCAUUAUAAAUGAACAGGUUUUUACUUUGAUUUGCGUCAUUUACAAAGAUGAUCUUGUUUUAUCUAUAAUACACGAAUAUACUUUUUGUGACCUUUAGUUUCAUGAUGUCAGCUUUUUUAUCAAAUAUAAUAACACAUGUAACUCGAAUCAACUCAGUUGUCUUUUUCACUACUAUGUCCAAACAAGCUUAAAAGCAAAUGUAUAUGCUUCGGAUUUAAAACUUUACGCACAAGAAGGAGACACAUUUAAAAAUAAAUAUAAAUCGCAAGAUAUAGUGAAUAUUAUACAGUAAUAAUCAUUAUGAUAUUUCUUGUUUUAUGACUAACGGAAAAUAUACGUAUACUAUGUACGGUUACAUUAAGACAUUUGGAGGGUUGAAAUAGUCUA